Molecule: ribosomal RNA, 219 nt
Filed under: uncultured bacterium
Lineage: Bacteria
Description: partial 16S ribosomal RNA
Rfam family: Bacterial small subunit ribosomal RNA
Source: RNAcentral
AGAACGAACGCUGGCGGCGUGGAUAAGACAUGCAAGUCGAACGGGACAACAUACUGUAGCGAAUACAGGUGUUGUUUAGUGGCGAACGGGUGCGUAACACGUGGGCAAUCUGCCGAGAAGUGGGGGAUAGCUCGCCGAAAGGCGAAUUAAUACCGCAAUAUGAUCAGGGAGGACAUUCUCUCGACAUCAAAGCCGGGGNAACCUGGCGCUUCUUGAUGA